AUACCUUUCUCUGCCGUUUGGCUAACAUCAAGUGCAGCGUCUAUUCUUAUCAGUUUGCUAUCUUAUAUGUGAGCCAUCGGUUCGCACGAUAUUAAAUUAUUUUGUUUCAUGGCUGAGUUCCCGUCACAGCAGCAAGGUUCUGGGUUCUUAUGCGUUGCCCUUGUGUUGCAUGCAUUACUACAAGGUCCUGGUGCACCCCCA
Papaver somniferum (opium poppy) is the source of this 201-nucleotide small nuclear RNA. RefSeq annotates it as U2 spliceosomal RNA. The record is from RefSeq and is a predicted model, not a curated record. Lineage: Eukaryota; Viridiplantae; Streptophyta; Magnoliopsida; Ranunculales; Papaveraceae. The transcript has a single exon.